CCAAAAGGCCUACGUGUGAGGGGUUACCUCGAGUGCUACCUGAAGAAGGUGGCUUUUCCUUGGUCUAAAAAGCCUCGGGAAUAAGAGGGGGGCAAGACUGGUGUCAGCCGCCGCGGUAACACCAGCCCCUCGAGUGGUGGGGAUGAUUAUUUGGCCUAAAGCGUCCGUAGCCGGCCGGGUAAGUCUCCCGUUAAAUCCAGCGUCUCAAGCGUUGGACUGCGGGAGAUACUGCCUGGCUAGAGAGUGGGAGAGGUGUACGGUAUUCUGGGGGUAGGGGCGAAAUCCUUUGAUCCCCGGAGGACCACCAGUGGCAAAGGCUGUACACUAGAACACGCCUGACGGUCAGGGACGAAAGCUGGGGUAGCGAACCGGAUUAGAUACCCGGGUAGUCCCAGCCGUAAACGAUGCAUGCUAGGUGUUGGGUUGGCCACGAGCCACCCCAGUGCCGCAGGGAAGCCGUUAAGCAUGCCGCCUGGGAAGUACGAUCGCAAGAUUGAAACUUAAAGGAAUUGGCGGGAGA
This 520-nucleotide ribosomal RNA is filed under the name uncultured archaeon. RNAcentral describes it as "bacterial SSU rRNA". It matches the Rfam family "Archaeal small subunit ribosomal RNA", at positions 352 to 875 of the family's 1478-position model. The record is from RNAcentral.